UAACAAGGAUUCCCCUAGUAACUGCGAGUGAAGCGGGAAAAGCUCAAAUUUAAAAUCUGGUGGUUUUGUGGCCACUCGAGUUGUAAUCUGGAGAAGUGCUUUCCGUGCUGGACCGUGUACAAGUCUCUUGGAACAGAGCGCCAUAGAGGGUGAGAAUCCCGUCUUUGACACGGACUACCAGUGCUUUGUGAUGCGCUCUCAAAGAGUCGAGUUGUUUGGGAAUGCAGCUCAAAAUGGGUGGUAAAUUCCAUCUAAAGCUAAAUAUUGGCGAGAGACCGAUAGCGAACAAGUACCGUGAGGGAAAGAUGAAAAGAACUUUGGAAAGAGAGUUAAACAGUACGUGAAAUUGCUGAAAGGGAAACGCUUGAAGUCAGUCGCAUUGGCCAGGACUCAGCCUUGCUUUUGCUUGGUUUAUUUUCUGGUUAAUGGGUCAGCAUCAGUUUUGAUUGUCGGACAAUGACCAGAGGAAUGUGGCAUCUUCGGGUGUGUUAUAGCCUUUGGUCGCAUACGAUGGUUGGGACUGAGGAUCUCAGUGCACCUUUAUGGUCGGGGUUCGCCCACGCUUGCACUUAGGAUGCUGGCGUAAUUAUCCUGAA
This 596-nucleotide ribosomal RNA is filed under the name uncultured Climacocystis. RNAcentral describes it as "LSU rRNA". It matches the Rfam family "Eukaryotic large subunit ribosomal RNA", at positions 66 to 644 of the family's 3401-position model. Lineage: Eukaryota; Fungi; Basidiomycota; Agaricomycetes; Polyporales. The record is from RNAcentral.